This 489-nucleotide ribosomal RNA is filed under the name Enterobacter cloacae. RNAcentral's name for it is "bacterial SSU rRNA". It matches the Rfam family "Bacterial small subunit ribosomal RNA", at positions 1048 to 1533 of the family's 1533-position model. The record is from RNAcentral. Lineage: Bacteria; Pseudomonadati; Pseudomonadota; Gammaproteobacteria; Enterobacterales; Enterobacteriaceae.
GUUGUCGUCAGCUCGUGUCGUGAGAUGUUGGGUUAAGUCCCGCAACGAGCGCAACCCUUGAUCUUAGUUGCCAGCAUUCAGUUGGGCACUCUAAGGUGACUGCCGGUGACAAACCGGAGGAAGGUGGGGAUGACGUCAAAUCAUCAUGCCCCUUAUGACCUGGGCUACACACGUGCUACAAUGGACAGAACAAAGGGCUGCGAGACCGCAAGGUUUAGCCAAUCCCACAAAUCUGUUCUCAGUUCGGAUCGCAGUCUGCAACUCGACUGCGUGAAGCUGGAAUCGCUAGUAAUCGCGGAUCAGCAUGCCGCGGUGAAUACGUUCCCGGGCCUUGUACACACCGCCCGUCACACCACGAGAGUUUGCAACACCCGAAGUCGGUGAGGUAACCUUUAUGGAGCCAGCCGCCGAAGGUGGGGCAGAUGAUUGGGGUGAAGUCGUAACAAGGUAGCCGUAUCGGAAGGUGCGGCUGGAUCACCUCCUUUCUAA